AGUGAACGCUGGCGGUAGGCCUAACACAUGCAAGUCGAACGGCAGCACAGUAAGAGCUUGCUCUUACGGGUGGCGAGUGGCGGACGGGUGAGGAAUACAUCGGAAUCUACUUUUUCGUGGGGGAUAACGUAGGGAAACUUACGCUAAUACCGCAUACGACCUACGGGUGAAAGCAUGGGAUCUUCGGACCUUGCGCGAUUGAAUGAGCCGAUGUCGGAUUAGCUAGUUGGCGGGGUAAAGGCCCACCAAGGCGACGAUCCGUAGCUGGUCUGAGAGGAUGGUCGGCCACACGGGAACUGAGACACGGUCCAGACUCCUGCGAGAGGGAGCAGUGGGGAAUGUUGGACAAUGGGCGCAAGCCUGGUCCAGCCAUACCGCGUGGGUGAAGGAGGCCUUCGGGUUGUAAAGCCCUUUUGUUGGGAAAGAAAAGCAGCAGGUUAAUACCCCGCGGUUCUGACGGUACCCAAAGAAUAAGCACCGGCUAACUUCGUG
Molecule: ribosomal RNA, 492 nt
Filed under: uncultured bacterium
Lineage: Bacteria
Description: partial 16S ribosomal RNA
Rfam family: Bacterial small subunit ribosomal RNA
Source: RNAcentral